This 451-nucleotide ribosomal RNA is filed under the name uncultured bacterium. RNAcentral describes it as "partial 16S ribosomal RNA". It matches the Rfam family "Bacterial small subunit ribosomal RNA", at positions 29 to 523 of the family's 1533-position model. The record is from RNAcentral.
AACGAACGCUGGCGGCAGGCUUAACGCAUGCAAGUCGAACGGUUGCAGCAAUGCAGCAGUGGCAGACGGGUGAGUAACACGUGGGAACCUUCCUAGGGGUACGGAACAACUCAGGGAAACUUGAGCUAAUACCGUAUACGUCCGUGAGGAGAAAGAUUUAUCGCCCUUAGACGGGCCCGCGUCGGAUUAGCUAGUUGGUGGGGUAACGGCCUACCAAGGCGACGAUCCGUAGCUGAUCUUAGAGGAUGAUCAGCCACACUGGGACUGAGACACGGCCCAGACUCCUACGGGAGGCAGCAGUGGGGAAUCUUGGACAAUGGGCGCAAGCCUGAUCCAGCCAUGCCGCGUGAGUGAAGAAGGUCUUCGGAUUGUAAAGCUCUUUUGCCAGGGACGAUAAUGACGGUACCUGGAGAAUAAGCCCCGGCAAACUUCGUGCCAGCAGCCGCGGUAA